AUCUCUAUUGAAGCAAGAAGACCCCCUGAAUUUAAGCAUAUAAUUAAGGGGAGGAAAAGAAACCAACUCGGAUUCCCCUAGUAAUGGCGAGUGAAGCGGGAAGAGCUCAUGUUGUAAAUCUCCAGCUUGCUGGCGAAUUGUAGUCUAAAGGUGCGUGCUCAGUCGUGGUCCCGGGCUAAGUCUGUUGGAAAACAGCAUCAUGGACGGUGACAAUCCGGUUCUUGCCUGGGGUCCCGCGGCGUACGAGCCGUUUCCGACGAGUCGUGUUGCUUGGGAUUGCAGCACUAAGUGGGUGGUAAAUUCCAUCUAAAGCUAAAUAUUGGUGGGAGACCGAUAGCGAACAAGUACCGUGAGGGAAAGAUGAAAAGACUUUUGAAAAGAGAGUAAAAUAGUACCUGAAACUGCUGAAAGGGAAGCGAUUGAAGUCAGUGUUGCUCCUGGUCUUUUUGCCGUCGCCCCCGUGGGGGUUGCGGCGUGGGGCCUGGAGCGUUUCAACAUGCGUUCUGUUCCGCGGGAAAUGUUCAGUGUGCUGGAACCUUCGGGGAAACGCACUGUUCUUGUCGUGGUUAGGACGGAGGACCUUUGCUCCUUUGACUGCGCGUUCCUCUCUCGGGUAUGCUGGUGUCUACUGCUUGCAGUUUUCAUUUUCAUGCUUGCGACUGUGCGUGUUAUUCAUGAGCGAACAUGAUGUUGAAGAAAUGGCUUUAAUUACCCCGUCUUGAAACACGGACCAAGGAGUCUAACAUGUAUGCGAGCCGGUGGGUUUAACACCCAUGAGACGCAAGUAACCUGACUGGUGGGAUGGCUUAUGCCUGCACCAUCGACCGACCAUGAUCUUCUGUGAAAGGUUUGAGUACGAGCAUACCUGUUGGGACCCGAAAGAUGGUGAACUAUGCCUGAAUAGGGCGAAGCCAGGGGAAACUCUGGUGGAGGCUCGUAGAUGUGCUGACGUGCAAAUCGCUUUUCGGACUUGGGUAUAGGGGCGAAAGACUAAUCGAACCAUCUAGUAGCUGGUUCCCUCCGAAGUUUCCCCCAGGAUAGCUGGAGCUUGAUCAGUUUUAUCGGGUAAAGCGAAUGAUUAGAGGUACCGGGGAUGAAACAUCCUCGACCUAUUCUCAAACUUUAAAUGGGUAAGAACCCGGGGUUGCUUAAUUGAACCCUGCGGUCGAAUCUCGGUUGCUAGUGGGCCAGUCCGGGUAAGCUGGACUGGCGAUGCGGGAUGAUCCGAACGCUGAGUUAAAGUGCCUAACUGCUCGCUCACCUAGAUCCCACAAAAGGUGUUGGUUCAUCCAGACAGCAGGACGGUGGCCAUGGAAGUCGGAACCCGCUAAGGAGUGUGUAACAACUCACCUGCCGAAUGAACUAGCCCUGAAAAUGGAUGGCGCUAAAGCGUGCGACUUAUACUCAGCCAUCAGCGCGAGACGUAUGUGCUGAUGAGUAGGAGGGCGUGAUGCUCGUAUCGAAGCCUUGGGCGUGAGCCUGGGUGAAACGUGCAUUAGUGCAGAUCUUGGUGGUAGUAGCAACUAUUCAAAUGAGAACUUUGAAGACUGAAGCGGAGAAAGGUUCCAUGUGAACAG
RNAcentral lists this ribosomal RNA (1577 nucleotides) under Heterosigma akashiwo. RNAcentral's name for it is "partial Eukaryotic large subunit ribosomal RNA". It matches the Rfam family "Eukaryotic large subunit ribosomal RNA", at positions 1 to 1520 of the family's 3401-position model. Lineage: Eukaryota; Raphidophyceae; Chattonellales; Chattonellaceae. The record is from RNAcentral.